GACGAACGCUGGCGGCGUGCCUAAUACAUGCAAGUUGAGCGAUGAAGAUUGGUGCUUGCACCAAUUUGAAGAGCAGCGCACGGGUGAGUAACGCGUGGGGAAUCUGCCUUUGAGCGGGGGACAACAUUUGGAAACGAAUGCUAAUACCGCAUAACAACUUUAAACAUAAGUUUUAAGUUUGAAAGAUGCAAUUGCAUCACUCAAAGAUGAUCCCGCGUUGUAUUAGCUAGUUGGUGAGGUAAAGGCUCACCAAGGCGAUGAUACAUAGCCGACCUGAGAGGGUGAUCGGCCACAUUGGGACUGAGACACGGCCCAAACGCCUACGGGAGGCAGCAGUAGGGAAUCUUCGGCAAUGGACGAAAGUCUGACCGAGCAACGCCGCGGGAGUGAAGAAGGUUUUCGGAUCGUAAAACUCUGUUGGUAGAGAAGAACGUUGGUGAGAGUGGAAAGCUCAUCAAGUGACGGUAACUACCCAGAAAGGGACGGCUAACUACGUG
Molecule: ribosomal RNA, 497 nt
Filed under: uncultured bacterium
Lineage: Bacteria
Description: partial 16S ribosomal RNA
Rfam family: Bacterial small subunit ribosomal RNA
Source: RNAcentral